This 1019-nucleotide long non-coding RNA is filed under the name Arabidopsis thaliana (thale cress). RNAcentral's name for it is "long non-coding RNA (ATHA_LNC000170)". The record is from RNAcentral. Lineage: Eukaryota; Viridiplantae; Streptophyta; Magnoliopsida; Brassicales; Brassicaceae.
CUUAUUGCAGUGUUGAGCCAAAGCAUUCCAGACUUGAUAGGAGGUGGCACAGUUGACAACUUCCCGCAUGAUAUCUUCAUUCAGAGAUCCCAACAGCCAAGCUCGGACUACUUGGUCAGAUCUGUUCCAAGUAUGAUACUCUGGAUUUGGUACCUCAGUAGUAAGACCAUCAAUGUUGUUGAAUGGAGUUGUUGCAGGAGGAGGUUUUAGUGACCCAUUGACAAAGCCUAGAAGGUUUUGGCCUGGCAGAAAAGACUCAAACUAUGUCUUCCAAAGAGAAUAGUUUUGCUCAUUGAGCUUAACCGUGACACACUUUGAGAUGUGAAGAACAUGAGCAGAAUAGAGUUGGAUAGAUUGAUCCAUCAUAGACCGCUGUGCUCUGAUACCAUGAAAGUAAGAGCAAGACGGCUACUUUAGGUAAUGUUUUGAGUGAACUUUGCUUUGUAUUAUUUCACUUGGUCUUUAGGUUACAACAUUAGUUCCCUUUUAUAGCUAGACAAUACUAGGGUUUCAAUGAUUGUAAACUGACAGCUGUCUCUAUCUUAUCAAGCUUCGCAGGUCACCAAACAACCAAAUCUGUUCUUUCUGUUGAUUGGCUCCAUACAGACGCUCCUCUUCUCUGUCUUCACUCUGGUUUUGUUUUCUUGCACAGGUGGUGGUCUUGUCUGUUGAGAAGAGGAAGAAGACUUGUUGGGCUUCGCUGUUGUGUUGGUUGUGUUGUCAUUGGGCCUGUUUGGUGAGUGGCCCAAUAACCCUUUUCCUUUGUUAAGCUGAGCGACGUCGUUCUCUUUCUUUGACUCUUCAGCUGAACUUGAGCUCUGAUUCGAUCUCAUUUCAGAUAUUGGAGCUGUUGAUGGCGGAGCAGUGAAACUCUUGCUAAUAAAGGGUCUUUCCACCAUUACAAUAUAUUAUGUAAAAAUAAAAAUAGUAUUUUAUUAUUUGUGUGUCUUUAAAUUUGAGACACAAAGUCUUCAAUGUCUUAGUAAAAACAUUUUUAAGAAUAAUGUCUUUAAUUUAAU